ACUCAAAGGAAUUGACGGGGACCCGCACAAGCGGUGGAGCAUGUGGUUUAAUUCGACGCAACGCGAAGAACCUUACCUGGGUUAAAUCCCAGUUGCAAGGCGUAGAGAUACGCCCCCCUCGCAAGAGGCGGCUGGGAAGGUGCUGCAUGGCUGUCGUCAGCUCGUGUCGUGAGAUGUUGGGUUAAGUCCCGCAACGAGCGCAACCCUUACCACUAGUUGCCAGCGAUUCGGUCGGGCACUCUAGCGGAACUGCCGGUGAUAAACCGGAGGAAGGUGGGGAUGACGUCAAGUCAUCAUGGCCUCUAUGUCCAGGGCUACACACGUGCUACAAUGGCAGGUACAAACCGUAGCAAACUCGCGAGAGGGAGCCAAUCGGAAAAAGCCUGUCUCAGUUCGGAUUGCAGUCUGCAACUCGACUGCAUGAAGUUGGAAUCGCUAGUAAUCGCGGAUCAGCACGCCGCGGUGAAUACGUUCCCGGGUCUUGUACACACCGCCCGU
This 498-nucleotide ribosomal RNA is filed under the name uncultured bacterium. RNAcentral describes it as "partial 16S ribosomal RNA". It matches the Rfam family "Bacterial small subunit ribosomal RNA", at positions 899 to 1397 of the family's 1533-position model. The record is from RNAcentral.